UUUUUCUAUUGAGUUGUAUGUACAAUGUAUUUCUUUGUGUUGCUCUUGAAUUAUAUUCAGCUCUAAAAAGUUCUAUGUGAGCUUGCAUAUUUAAUACUGUAUAUUUAAAUCUUAACUUUCUUUUUCAAGAAAAACAUCUUGGACCCUUUUCCUUAAUGAUAUUAAGGAACUUCCAAAUACAUCCUAAAUGAUCACAUUGAAUUUCUGCAACUAUACCCUAAAACACUAAGUUAAUAUUUAUAUUGCAUUAUUUUUCAGGUGUGAAAAUGAAACCAAAUUCAAAACAGAAGAAGUAUUCUGGGCUUACAAUUUCUGCCCUUCUCCGUACUCCUGGACUGCACUUCUGGGCCUUAUUUUAUAUCUUGUUUUCUUCGCACCUGGAAUGGGACCAAUGCCUUGGACUGUGAAUUCUGAAAUAUAUCCCCUUUGGGCAAGAAGUACAGGAAACGCAUGUUCAUCUGGAAUAAACUGGAUUUUCAACGUUCUGGUUUCAUUGACAUUUUUACACACAGCAGAGUAUCUCACAUACUAUGGAGCCUUCUUCCUUUAUGCUGGAUUCGCUGCCGUGGGACUCCUUUUCAUCUAUGGCUGUCUUCCUGAGACCAAAGGGAAAAAAUUAGAGGAAAUUGAAUCACUCUUUGACAACAGGCUAUGUACAUGUGGCGCUUCAGAUUCUGAUGAAGGGAGAUAAGUGAAUAUAUUCGGGUGAAGGGAAGUAACUAUCAUCUUUCUGACAACGAUGCUUCUGAUGUGGAAUAAAUUUCAGCUGCUGAUAUAUUUAGUCAUUUAAACAAACUUGGGGGAGAAGAGCAGCAAUGGAUGACCUCACUGCCCUGCUUCUAAUCUGGUUCUUUCCACAGUCUAGUUUGGAAUGACUUCAUAUUCUAGAAUAUUUGAUUAGGAGGAAGAUACAACCAUGAUGACAUUGUUUUUUUCACAAGCAGAAAUGUAAAAAAAUAUUUACGGAGAUUUUAAACUAAUAAUUAUUGAGCAAAUAUGUGCAAUUCCUUCCUGAGGUAGUCUAAAAUGAAUACUGUAUCCAGUGACUGCAGUGGUAUCCUUUUUUCCUAAGACCAUAUAUAAUUAUUAGUGGCAGUUGAGUCAGUGCUGAUCUAGCCAAAUCAUAAUAUGUAUGAUAUACUUAUAAAGAAGGAUUCUGGGAUAUGAUCCAAGGGUGUUUUCUGUCAAAACAUGGCCUAUUGGCCCUAAAUUUUCCUAAGGACAAGUAGCUUAUCUGUGAUCAGCUAUUAGAAAGUAAAUUCCCUUUAAGCUUUCAUCAACAGAUUCGAAAGUGCCUCCUACAAGUGCACAGCUGUCCUUAUCUCCUUUGGAUUCCAUAUUUGGUUUCUCUCUCCAAUUCAGCUCUUGAGAGUUCUUCAGAAACUGACUAUGUACAGGCUAUUUUGAACAUUAUGAAAAGCAGGUCUUUUAGGGUUUAUUUUCAUACAUAUUUUUUUGCAGCAGUGAUAAGUAUACAUUUGCACAGAUAAGCUAACAAGUUUUGAUAAGUAUAUUUUAUUACUAGAAAGUAAGAAAGAGAAGAUUUUUCUGGACCCCUGAUCGAGUUAGUCACUUAGGUAUGCAACUUAAACACAAAAUAGAGCUACAUCUUCAACUGUAUUUCAGGGUCAGUUUUUGUUCAUGCCAGAAUCACCUGAUAUUCACCACACCUGCAAUCGUCAACUCUGGAGUCCUAUUUGUGCCUUCAUUUGUGUUAAAUAGCUGCUAGCAGACUAUUUUUCCCCCCUCUUUUAAUCAAUCAAAUUUCUCAAACAAAAAAGGAAGAAAAUCAGUGACAGAAAUAAUCCUGCUGUUACUGAUGUUUGUUUAAUUAACAAGUGGGACUUAUUUUUUUCUUAACUUAUUAACUCUUCCUAAUGGAACUGUCACAUUUUAUUACCUAAUAGUACUUUGUCUUUUUUUACUCUAAGAACAUAAACUAGUUUUUAUUUUUGCACACCCUGUCUUGUUUUCCCUGACAAUUUACCAAAAAAAAACAAAAAAGAUACAUAGAUUUGUCUGAGAGUGUUUCCUUUUUUCUCAUGGUUGGCUUGGAUUUUUUCCUUCUUGUCUAAAAAUUGGGAUUAUCUAUUGGAACAGAUUGCUGGUUCUCAUACAGCACAUAACUUUAAGAAAUGUUGACUUACCACAUGCCUACAAUGUCUUUUCAAAGUGUUCAUUGGUUUUUAUGCUCAUUCAUCAAGGAACUCUAAUUUUUGCUCUUAUAUUAAGAAUUAUAUAGUAUGUACAAAAUUAUUCAUAAAUUACUUAUUAGUUCCAGUGAAAAUAUGAAUGACUCACCUGUGGCCAGUUAGGAACACAUAAGUUUGGUGCAUGUUAACAUGGCUCUAAACAUUAAAUAAGGUACUUUUUGGAAUGAAAAGGUGGCUGUCUCUAAAUUCAAUGUGUUUCUGCCAGUCUCCAAGAUGUUUUGUUCUUCUCUUAAAGUCUGGCUUGUUCCUAUCACAGUUAUCAAAGCUGAGAAUGUAGCCAAGAAGGUUCAUUCUCUCAGCAACCAGGGGUAUGAUACGUGUUUAAACAGUCACUUUACUGGCCUAAAAAUCCUUCAGCCAAAAAAGUUUUCUCCCUUUGGUCAUGUCAUGUAAUAAAAAAUAUUUUUUCCUUCAAUUAGGUGCUUUGACAAUUGAUUUAUAAGGGGAUAGUAAUAUUAAUUUUUCUCAGAAAAGCAGAUGAGAUUUAAUGGAGAAAAUUAUUAUUCUAUAUUUCUUACCCCGUAAGAAAUUUCUUAUCUGUGUAAUAUUUCUCACAGAUCAAGUGAAGUGGCAAACAAGCUACUGUGUGGUAAAAUCAGAAUAUGAUGGGGAGAAAAAAUAUUUAGACCAAUAAAGUGCCCUCUUUAAAAAUUUAUGUUUCUGAUUUAUCCAAGUAAUUGCCUCAAUUCUUCUCUUUAUUGUAUAUAUAGCCUUAACUAUAUGCUUAUAUACUCAGCUGGGCUGAAUGCACAGUAACUUUAUUAAAGGAGCAACUCGACUCUUAUUAUUUCCUAAAGCAGAACAUGGCCUGUUCUCCCUGACAUAAGCAAAUGGUGUUUGCAACUUUCCAUCCAUAAAUGCACAUAACAGGGAAAAUCAGCCACAGUUCUCCUCCCCUAUUCUCCUCAACUUCUUCUUUAAAGGACUAUUUGUUAUUUAUAUAAUGAUAAAGAUAGAUAAUAUUCCAUAUCUUUGAAGUACAAGACAGAGAGGCAUAGUUAUAAGAAUUAUUUAUAAUUUUUUAAAAACAAAUAACUACUUGAAAAGGAACCUUAUAAAAUUAGGGUAUUAUUUUUAGAUUCAGUGAACAUUUAUAGUAUAUUAAAAAUUGAAUGUUUGAAUUUUGCAGGCUUUUUUAUAUUACGCACCUUUUAAGUUCUCAGAGUCUUUGGCUACCACUAUCAACUUGAAAACAUUCCAUUUUCAUUCUGAAACAUCAUCAAAUACAUAUUUUAUAGGACGAUUUGUUUAUAUGUGUUAUAUUUGACUUACCAUAUUAAAGCACAUUAAGCAUCAUGCUUUUAACUGAAAUUAUAGGUUUCCUUCUAAACAUGCUGCAGAUUCAACAGAGGUAUAUUAUGUUUUAGGGAAAUUUAGUGAAGGAGGUCAUCACCCCUAUUGAGGCUUAGCCUGGAUGGCUGAUGAGAUCUGCACUAGACUUAAGAGAAUAUAGCAUUUCAUCUGCAUCUGAACACAUAAGGCUGAAUGUGAUGUCAGAUAGGUUUUACACAUUUGGUAUUAAUAUUUUUCUUCAAUAUAAACAUUCCUAAUAAUUUUAAUUGUUGCACCUUAGUCAAUAAUUAUCCAAGACAUGAUUUUUAAUAUGUAUCUAAAGAUCUAAAUUAAAAUUAGACUUAAAAUGUAGUAUUUCCAUUUGAAUUUUGUUCCCAGUCAUAUGCGGUAGUUAGUUCCCUGAUGGAAAAUGCUAUGAGAGUAAUGCUAUCAAGUGCUUUUUCAUAAUUUUAUUUUACCACUGAACCAGAUUUUAGUAUAUGUCUAAACAUUAUUUUUUAAGUUAUUCACUCAUGGUAAAUCCAUUAAAGCAAAGAAUUUAUAAAUUGUUUACUAUAAUUUCAAAAUCAGUUAUCCAGAGGAAGAAUGAAGAGGAAAAAUGUAAGUUGACAACUUACCCUUUUGCUUUUACACAGAAAGUAAAAUUGAAAUGUAUUCUAAUAAUCCACAGAUCCUGGGGGAGGACAGUCUAGAAAAUACUAUCCAUAUGUUAUCUAAGAGAGUCUCAAUUUAUAAACUUUAUCAGUGUCAUUAAAUACUGUAAUACAGUGAGGGGAGUGGGAGGAUUCUUUUGAUUUUAUUUCAUUGGCAUAGUAAUUAAGAACAAUAAAAUUAAUGAGAUGUUUUGUUAUAAUCAGAUUUUUUUUUUUUACCAUUCUCCUAGUUAUAAAAUCUUAAAUUAUACUAAGCACAUAACAACUCAGAUUUAUACAGUUAUUGGGACAAGUUUUAAAUUACCAAUUUCAGACCUUUGCACUAACUAUGAAUAAAAGAAUGACAUAACAGGUCAGAGCAGAGAAUUCAUAAUUUGUGCUUUAUAGCAAAACAUAUUAAAUUGUGGAUAAAAUUUACAGCUCAUGUGUAGCUGCUGCCUAUAAAAGACUCAGAGGUGUUCUCUGGAUUAACAUUAAUAUCCUAUUUUCUGUCCUUUUCUAUCAGUUGUCUUAGCCUCAUGUACAGUAAUGUUAAGCUAAUUUGAUGAAGUGAUUUAGGUUGUAGCAGCGUAUCAAUUAUCAGUACAUUCAGUUCUUCUGGGUGAGCAGUAUUGCUACUAUUUUCUAGAAAGGGUAAUCAUUUUAAAAUGCCAAACAGCUAACUGCUACCAACUCUCUUAUAUAUUGUCUCCUAGAGAAGGAAAUUUUUGUCUGCCUAUAUACAUCAGAAAGAUAGUUCCUAAGAGUAUUAAUGACGUUCAGAAGUACAUGAAUUUUAUCCUCAUAAUUUGCUUGUGAGUGUAAAACAAUGUAAUUCCUAUAAAACUUUACUUUGUAUGUAUAAAACAGUCUGUUGCACUUGAGUGAUUUGGUCUUUGGAAUGUUAAAUACUUACUUUCAUUUAGCAGUAAUAUUCAGAUUUUUAUUUUAGACAGUUAAGUUCAUGUGUUUGAUUUUGUCACAUCAGUAUAAAUGAGAAAAAGAAAUACAGCUUACAAGUACUCAAAAAUAAAAACCAGUAUUUUGUAAAGUUUUAAAAUGUUAGCAAAUUUAACAUCAUUCCAUCUUAUUUGAAGGUUAAAAAAGAUGAGAUUUAACUCUAGCCAAAGUAGAAAUUUAUAUUCUACAUGUCCAAACUGGUUCCUAGCGGCUUUUGGACUAUAUCUCACUUGAUGUUAUAGUAUCUCUUAUUUGUAAUAAAUGUUCAAAUUUCUAUUUAGAAGCGCUAAUGUACAUCUAGAUUAAAUCAAAACACAGUUUUAUGCUUUUAAAAUGUUUUCAAAAUAUAUAUUUUAAUUUCUAGGUGCAUGUUACAUAGUGUUUAACACUUCACAUGUCUUGGCAAAUUCAAUAUAAAUAUUUAUUCCUACACGUGACAUAUGGGAUAUCUCUUAAAAAUUAUGAAUAUUUAUCAUUUUUUCCCUUCAAAGUCAUUCUAGCCUAUAGCUGUAUCAAAAAGUAUUGUAUAUUUUAUGGAGAUUUAGUGAUGUAUAUGUAAAUGUUUUUUAAGUUAUUUUAUUGAAGUUCAAUCUUUACAUAAAAUGAAAAUCUUUUUUUAAAAAAAGUGUCAGUGCCAGAACUGUAAAUGAAAAUAAUCAAAUAAAAGUUAAGACAAUUCAUUACUCAUA
Non-coding RNA from Equus caballus (horse), 5787 nucleotides. The record is from RefSeq and is a predicted model, not a curated record. Lineage: Eukaryota; Metazoa; Chordata; Mammalia; Perissodactyla; Equidae.